This is a long non-coding RNA of Lepus europaeus (European hare), 690 nucleotides long. RefSeq lists it as uncharacterized. The record is from RefSeq and is a predicted model, not a curated record. The transcript has 3 exons. Lineage: Eukaryota; Metazoa; Chordata; Mammalia; Lagomorpha; Leporidae.
CCAAGCCCCACCUCGCCGCCGCCUCCCGAGCGAGCUCCCAAGACGGACCCCGUGCACCAGGCGACGCCCACCUCGGCCCUGGGAUCACUGACGAGCCGGGUCCUCCCGCUUUCCUAGAACGGCUCCCGGGAUGCACUUCCGCCCCGCGAGCGGCCGCUCUGCGCGCUGGUGUCGCUCCCCACGCCUGUCUCCGGGCUGCGCGGGACAGAAGCUGGCCGAACGGAGAACUCUCACUUGAGUUCAUCAUUGGAGUUAGGCGCUGGACUCCAGUGCCCAGGGCUUCGGCCACUCUCCACACCGAUAUCCCGAACGACCUUGCCUGGGAGGUGUUAACCCUGACGCAGCCAUAAUGUCUGUUUUCCUUGGCCAGGCUAAAGUGGCCGUCAAGAAACAGUAUCUUAACACAGAAGUCUGAAACUCAUGGGAGGAAUUUUAGGCACAGGAUGAAGGUGAUGAAAACUGCCAAUGUUGCCAGCUGACUUCUCAGUGCCCUACAACUGAGUACUUACCUGAACCCAACCCUUUUGUAGGAUGGAUGAGGGCCAUUGGCUAACACUGGAGUCCACAUUUUUUACAUAACACUUGCAGGUCAAUAAACCAAAAGGUAACAACCAGAUGGCUGGCUCGUGAAAUGGUUGAUCUUAAUGAUGUGGCAUAUUGGAAAGCUUUUUAUGGGGGGGGGGUCCUCAA